This 285-nucleotide ribosomal RNA is filed under the name uncultured bacterium. Its description in RNAcentral is "partial 16S ribosomal RNA". It matches the Rfam family "Bacterial small subunit ribosomal RNA", at positions 333 to 635 of the family's 1533-position model. The record is from RNAcentral.
UUUACCCUACGGGGGGCAGCAGUGGGGAAUAUUGGACAAUGGGGGAAACCCUGAUGCAGCGACGCCGCGUGAGUGAGGAAGUAUUUCGGUAUGUAAAGCUCUAUCAGCAGGGAAGAAAAUGACGGUACCUGACUAAGAAGCCCCGGCUAACUACGUGCCAGCAGCCGCGGUAAUACGUAGGGGGCAAGCGUUAUCCGGAUUUACUGGGUGUAAAGGGAGCGUAGACGGAGGAACAAGUCUGAUGUGAAACUCCGGGGCCCAACCCCGGAACUGAAUUGGAAACUG